UACGGAAAGGCAGCAGUGGGGAAUAUUGCACAAUGGGCGCAAGCCUGAUGCAGCCAUGCCGCGUGUAUGAAGAAGGCCUUCGGGUUGUAAAGUACUUUCAGUCGUGAGGAAGGUGUUAAGGUUAAUAACCUUAGCAAUUGACGUUAGCGACAGAAGAAGCACCGGCUAACUCCGUGCCAGCAGCCGCGGUAAUACGGAGGGUGCGAGCGUUAAUCGGAAUUACUGGGCGUAAAGGGCACGCAGGCGGUUAAUUAAGUUGGAUGUGAAAUCCCCGGGCUUAACCUGGGAAUGGCAUUCAAGACUGGUUAGCUAGAGUCUUGUAGAGGGGGUAGAAUUCCAUGUGUAGCGGUGAAAUGCGUAGAGAUGUGGAGGAAUACCGGGUGGCGAAGGCGGCCCCUGGGACAAAGGACUGACGCUCAUGUGCGAAAGCGUGGGGAGCAAACAGGAUUAGAUACC
This 456-nucleotide ribosomal RNA is filed under the name uncultured bacterium. Its description in RNAcentral is "bacterial SSU rRNA". It matches the Rfam family "Bacterial small subunit ribosomal RNA", at positions 340 to 786 of the family's 1533-position model. The record is from RNAcentral.